AGCGAACGCUGGCGGCAGGCUUAACACAUGCAAGUCGAGCGGGCGUAGCAAUACGUCAGCGGCAGACGGGUGAGUAACGCGUGGGAACAUACCUUUUGGUUCGGAACAACACAGGGAAACUUGUGCUAAUACCGGAUAAGCCCUUACGGGGAAAGAUUUAUCGCCGAAAGAUUGGCCCGCGUCUGAUUAGCUAGUUGGUGAGGUAAUGGCUCACCAAGGCGACGAUCAGUAGCNGGUCUGAGAGGAUGAUCAGCCACAUUGGGACUGAGACACGGCCCAAACUCCUACGGGAGGCAGCAGUGGGGAAUAUUGGACAAUGGGCGCAAGCCUGAUCCAGCCAUGCCGCGUGAGUGAUGAAGGCCCUAGGGUUGUAAAGCUCUUUUGUGCGGGAAGAUAAUGACGGUACCGCAAGAAUAAGCCCCGGCUAACUUCGUGCCAGCAGCCGCCGUAA
This 451-nucleotide ribosomal RNA is filed under the name uncultured bacterium. RNAcentral's name for it is "bacterial SSU rRNA". It matches the Rfam family "Bacterial small subunit ribosomal RNA", at positions 29 to 523 of the family's 1533-position model. The record is from RNAcentral.